This 478-nucleotide long non-coding RNA is filed under the name Polistes fuscatus (common paper wasp). RNAcentral's name for it is "uncharacterized LOC122524052". The record is from RNAcentral. Lineage: Eukaryota; Metazoa; Arthropoda; Insecta; Hymenoptera; Vespidae.
CGUUCCUCGUCACUCUCUCCCUUACUCUCUUUUGUGUGUGCGCGCGCGCGCGCAACAGUCGGUAUUUAUAAAUAAAUGCCUCGGCCACGUGCUAUGGGAGAAAUGGAAUGGCGUUUGGAGAGUGCUUUAACUCGAGCAAAAAGUAUCAAACGGAAGAAGAUAGUCGUGAUGACAUAAAGGGGUUGGAGAGCGUGCCGAUGACCUUGACCCGGAGACAGGAGGUCGUGAACCAAGGCGAACUGACAGCUCGAUUGCGAAAGGUGGAUGCGCCCAAAGGAAGAUUUCUGCUUGGUUAAGAGAAAAGGACGAGUCCAAUUCAAGAGAGGAAGAUGAUAAGAUCCUGUCUAGAUGCGAUUCAUUUUGCUUUCUAUUUUUUUUAAGCUCCCUCAUAAAUUAUUUAGUCUUUCGUUAUAAGAGAUGGUGAAAAAAAGAAAGAAAAAAAGAGAGAGAGAAAAAAAUGACAGAGACAAUAAGGAAA